This 520-nucleotide ribosomal RNA is filed under the name fungal clone UUF-18. Its description in RNAcentral is "SSU rRNA". It matches the Rfam family "Eukaryotic small subunit ribosomal RNA", at positions 216 to 735 of the family's 1831-position model. Lineage: Eukaryota; Fungi. The record is from RNAcentral.
AUUAAAAACCAAUGCCCUCCGGGGYUCACUGGUGAUUCAUGAUAACUUCUCGAAUCGCAUGGCCUUGCGCCGGCGAUGGUUCAUUCAAAUUUCUUCCCUAUCAACUUUCGAUGUUUGGGUAUUGGCCAAACAUGGUUGCAACGGGUAACGGAGGGUUAGGGCUCGACCCCGGAGAAGGAGCCUGAGAAACGGCUACUACAUCCAAGGAAGGCAGCAGGCGCGCAAAUUACCCAAUCCCGACUCGGGGAGGUAGUGACAAUAAAUACUGAUACAGGGCUCUUUUGGGUCUUGUAAUUGGAAUGAGUACAAUUUAAAUCCCUUAACGAGGAACAAUUGGAGGGCAAGUCUGGUGCCARCAGCCGCGGUAAUUCCAGCUCCAAUAGCGUAUAUUAAAGUUGUUGUGGUUAAAAAGCUCCGUAGUUGAACCUUGGGCCUGGCUGGCCGGUCCGCCUCACCGCGUGUACUGGUCCGGCCGGGCCUUUCCCUCCUGUGGAACCCCAUGCCCUUCACUGGGUGUGGC